RNAcentral lists this ribosomal RNA (245 nucleotides) under uncultured bacterium. Its description in RNAcentral is "partial 16S ribosomal RNA". It matches the Rfam family "Bacterial small subunit ribosomal RNA", at positions 524 to 766 of the family's 1533-position model. The record is from RNAcentral.
GACAGAGGGUGCAAACGUUGUUCGGAAUUACUGGGCGUAAAGCGCGUGUAGGCGGCUAAGUAAGUCGGGCGUGAAAUCCCACGGCUCAACCGUGGAAGUGCACUCGAAACUGCGUAGCUAGAGUCCUGGAGAGGAAGGUGGAAUGCUUGGUGUAGAGGUGAAAUUCGUAGAUAUCAAGCGGAACACCGGUGGCGAAGGCGGCCUUCUGGACAGUGACUGACGCAUGAGACGGCGAAAGCGUGGGG